UAGGGAAUCUUCGGCAAUGGGGGGAACCUUGACCGAGCAACGCCGCGUGAGUGAAGAAGGUUUUCGGAUCGUAAAGCUCUGUUGUUAAGGAAGAACGAGUGUGAGAAUGGAAAGUUCAUACUGUUACGGUACUUAACCAGAAAGGGACGGCUAACUACGUGCCAGCAGCCGCGGUAAUACGUAGGUCCCGAGCGUUGUCCGGAUUUAUUGGGCGUAAAGCGAGCGCAGGCGGUUAGAUAAGUCUGAAGUUAAAGGCAGUGGCUCAACCAUUGUAGGCUUUGGAAACUGUUUAACUUGAGUGCAGAAGGGGAGAGUGGAAUUCCAUGUGUAGCGGUGAAAUGCGUAGAUAUAUGGAGGAACACCAGUGGCGAAGGCGACUCUCUGGUCUGUAACUGACGCUGAGGCUCGAAAGCGUGGGUAGCAAACAGG
This 429-nucleotide ribosomal RNA is filed under the name Bacteroidota bacterium. RNAcentral's name for it is "Bacteroidetes bacterium partial 16S ribosomal RNA". It matches the Rfam family "Bacterial small subunit ribosomal RNA", at positions 355 to 776 of the family's 1533-position model. Lineage: Bacteria; Pseudomonadati; Bacteroidota. The record is from RNAcentral.